AUUAACUGGACGGACAAUAAACCGUGUGGAUAAACAGGGUGGUUGCUCUGGUGAAAUGAUCAGUGGAACUCUAUUUGCUGUGACCCUGUCCCUCUGUGUUGCUUUGGGUGCAAAUGCCCCAGUCCUUUUCCAGUCUCCGACCCUGCAAUGUGUCACAGAGGGUCACACUGCCCGACUGCAGUGCACCAUGAGUAACGCAGCAGUAACGCACGUCAAUGUUCACUGGUACCAAGGACGACCAGGACUUCGGGCGAAGAGGAUUUUGACACAUGACCAAUGGAAUCGGGUGUACAGGUGUAAAUGCCCCAGUCCUUCUCCAGUCACCAAGCCUGGAACGUGUCACCGAGGGUCACACUGCCCGGUUACAGUGUACCAUGAGGAACGCCGCAGUGACACAUACUGAUGUUCACUGGCACCGGGACCAACCAAGGAAAAGCACGGAGUGGAUUUUAACACAUGACGUGAGGAACAUCACACGGAGCCCACAAUUUAUGGAGCGAUUCCAGUCUUCCAGAGUCUCCAACAAUAACAGCUUCAUUCUGACCAUCAGAAACGUGCUGCCCAUUGACAGUGGGGUCUAUUACUGUAAAGUGUGGGGAGAUAUCAGUGGGAAUGGAACCCAACUGACUGUAAUGGAUCCAUUGGCUGAUCCAGUCCUCAUUCAGUAUCCAGUGGCCAGCAAGGUACCAGAGGGUGAAACUGUCGAGUUCCAGUGUGUCAUGUACCAUGCCAGCCCAGGGUUUCCAUGA
This is a non-coding RNA of Stegostoma tigrinum, 749 nucleotides long. The record is from the annotation of a RefSeq genome assembly. NCBI's taxonomy places the organism in Eukaryota, Metazoa, Chordata, Chondrichthyes, Orectolobiformes, Stegostomatidae.